CAUCCCCCUUAUCACGAUCGUGCCUAGGGCACGAUCGUGGAAGAAGGGGGUAAAGGGAAGGGGGACGGCGGCGGCGGCUUGGAGAGGCGACUCGCCGGAGAGAAGACGAGCGCCGGAGAGGGGAUCCGGCCGGCCGCGCUUCGGAGAAGAUUCCUCACAAACCAAGUGAAGAGCUCUCGGAUCCGUGUUUUUCAACCGAGCUCGCCACAGAUUUCUUCCUCCGAUUCCUCGCCGGAAAGGCCGCCGGAGCACUCAUCGGACGGAGAGGAAGAGUCGGCAGAGCCAGGAGGUUUUGAUCAGGGGACUCAGCACCCCAGCGCGUAGGUUGUGAUUCGGACUGUGUUUGAGUCAGUCUACAAUUUCGGUAAGAAUCCCUACAUCUGAGCACUUCUAUGCAUAUAUUGAUUUAUCGUUGGAUUUAUUUUACGGUUGUGUUGUUAUUGCUUGUGAGCUGAUAUGACACAUAUGAGAUGAAUGUUUAUCAACAUAUUUUCAUUAUUA
This is a non-coding RNA of Phoenix dactylifera (date palm), 501 nucleotides long. NCBI's taxonomy places the organism in Eukaryota, Viridiplantae, Streptophyta, Magnoliopsida, Arecales, Arecaceae. The record is from RefSeq and is a predicted model, not a curated record.